Molecule: ribosomal RNA, 510 nt
Filed under: Punctoterebra plumbea
Lineage: Eukaryota; Metazoa; Mollusca; Gastropoda; Neogastropoda; Terebridae
Description: Strioterebrum plumbeum partial 16S ribosomal RNA
Rfam family: Bacterial large subunit ribosomal RNA
Source: RNAcentral
UUGAGGUGUUAUUAUUAAUAAGGAGUCGGACCUGCCCGGUGAAAUUUUUUAACGGCCGCGGUACUCUGACCGUGCAAAGGUAGCAUAAUCAUUUGCCUUAUAAUUGAAGGCUGGUAUGAACGGUUUGACAAGAAUAUAACUGUCUCUUUACAAUUUAGUAGAACUUUAUUUUUAGGUGAAAAAGCCUAGAUUGAAUUAAAAGACAAGAAGACCCUAUCGAGCUUUAGAAAAAUUAGUGGGUUUAUUAUUUUUAUUAAUAAAAAGUACAGCUAUUAAAUAUUUUGGUUGGGGCGACUGAGGAACAUAAAAAGCUUCCUUUAGAUAUUUUAUUAACAUACAGGUAUUGAUCCAUAGUUAGUGAUUAAAGAAAUUAGUUACCGUAGGGAUAACAGCAUUAUCCUUUUUGAGAGUUCUAAUCGAAAAAAGGGUUUGUGACCUCGAUGUUGGACCAGAAUGUCCUAAAGAUGCAGAAGUCUUUAAGGGUUGGUCUGUUCGACCAUUAAAAUUCUA